Molecule: ribosomal RNA, 279 nt
Filed under: uncultured bacterium
Lineage: Bacteria
Description: partial 16S ribosomal RNA
Rfam family: Bacterial small subunit ribosomal RNA
Source: RNAcentral
GAUAAACGCUGGCGGCGUGCAUGAGACAUGCAAGUCGGACGAGUGACUCGGGCUUGCUCGAGUCACUAGUGGCGGACGGCUGAGUAACGCGUAGGUGACCUGCCCCGAAGUGGGGAGUAACUGCCCGAAAGGGUGGGCUAAUACCGCAUGUGGUCACACGUUCGAUCGUGUGAGUGAAGCCGCAAGGCGCUUCGGGAGGGGCCUGCGUCCGAUUAGCUCGUUGGNGGGGUAACGGCGUCACCAAGGCGACGAUCGGUAGGUGGUCUGAGAGGACGAUCA